RNAcentral lists this ribosomal RNA (465 nucleotides) under uncultured bacterium. RNAcentral describes it as "partial 16S ribosomal RNA". It matches the Rfam family "Bacterial small subunit ribosomal RNA", at positions 338 to 795 of the family's 1533-position model. The record is from RNAcentral.
CCUACGGGUGGCAGCAGUGGGGAAUAUUGCGCAAUGGGCGAAAGUCUGACGCAGCGACGCCGCGUGAGGGAUGAAGGUCUUCGGAUCGUAAACCUCUGUCAGCAGGGAAGAACGGUCACUGUGCUAAUCAGCAGUGAAUUGACGGUACCUGCAAAGGAAGCACCGGCUAACUCCGUGCCAGCAGCCGCGGUAAUACGGAGGGUGCGAGCGUUAAUCGGAAUUACUGGGCGUAAAGCGCUCGUAGGCGGUAUGUCAAGUCAAGGGUGAAAUCCCCGCGCUCAACGUGGGAACUGCCUUUGAAACUGGCAAACUGGAGUGUGUGAGAGGAUAGUGGAAUUCCAGGUGUAGGAGUGAAAUCCGUAGAUAUCACGCAGAACCCCGAUUGCGAAGGCAGCAUACCGGUGCACAACUGACGCUCAGGCACGAAAGCGUGGGUAUCGAACAGGAUUAGAUACCCGGGUAGUC